UGCUUGCUUUAGCUUUCUUCAUCAGAUAUC
Molecule: non-coding RNA, 30 nt
Filed under: Rattus norvegicus (Norway rat)
Lineage: Eukaryota; Metazoa; Chordata; Mammalia; Rodentia; Muridae
Source: RNAcentral